AUUGUGCCAGCGGCCGCGUUAAUACGGAGGGUGCAAGCGUUAAUCGGAAUUACUGGGCGUAAAGCGCACGCAGGCGGUCUGUCAAGUCGGAUGUGAAAUCCCCGGGCUCAACCUGGGAACUGCAUUCGAAACUGGCAGGCUAGAGUCUUGUAGAGGGGGGUAGAAUUCCAGGUGUAGCGGUGAAAUGCGUAGAGAUCUGGAGGAAUACCGGUGGCGAAGGCGGCCCCCUGGACAAAGACUGACGCUCAGGUGCGAAAGCGUGGGGAGCAAACAGGAUUAGAUACCCUGGUAGUCCACGCCGUAAACGAUGUCGACUUGGAGGUUGUGCCCUUGAGGCGUGGCUUCCGGAGCUAACGCGUUAAGUCGACCGCCUGGGGAGUACGGCCGCAAGGUUAAAACUCAAAUGAAUUGACGGGGGCCCGCACAAGCGGUGGAGCAUGUGGUUUAAUUCGAUGCAACGCGAAGAACCUUACCUACUCUUGGCAUCCAGAGAACUUUCCAGAGAUGGAUUGGUGCCUUCGGGAACUCUGAGACAGGUGCUGCAUGGCUGUCGUCAGCUCGUGUUGUGAAAUGUUGGGUUAAGUCCCGCAACGAGCGCAACCCUUGUCAUUAGUUGCUACGAAAGGGCACUCUAAUGAGACUGCCGGUGACAAACCGGAGGAAGGUGGGGAUGACGUCAGGUCAUCAUGGCCCUUAUGGGUAGGGCUACACACGUCAUACAAUGGCCGGGACAGAGGGCUGCCAACCCGCGAGGGGGAGCUAAUCCCAGAAACCCGGUCGUAGUCCGGAUCGUAGUCUGCAACUCGACUGCGUGAAGUCGGAAUCGCUAGUAAUCGCGGAUCAGCUUGCCGCGGUGAAUACGUUCCCGGGUCUUGUACACACCCCCCGUCACACCAUGGGAGUGGGUUGCCCCAGAAGUAGAUAGCUUAACCUUCGGGAGGGCGUUUACCACGGUGUGAUUCAUGACUGGGGUGAAGUCGUAACAAGGUACCCAAUCGUCGACCUGCAGG
This 1010-nucleotide ribosomal RNA is filed under the name uncultured Enterobacter sp. RNAcentral describes it as "bacterial SSU rRNA". It matches the Rfam family "Bacterial small subunit ribosomal RNA", at positions 502 to 1533 of the family's 1533-position model. Lineage: Bacteria; Pseudomonadati; Pseudomonadota; Gammaproteobacteria; Enterobacterales; Enterobacteriaceae. The record is from RNAcentral.